This 370-nucleotide ribosomal RNA is filed under the name uncultured organism. Its description in RNAcentral is "partial 16S ribosomal RNA". It matches the Rfam family "Bacterial small subunit ribosomal RNA", at positions 527 to 896 of the family's 1533-position model. The record is from RNAcentral.
GUAGGUGGCAAGCGUUGUCCGGAAUUAUUGGGCGUAGAGCGCGCGCAGGCGGUUCUUUAAGUCUGAUGUGAAAGCCCACGGCUCAACCGUGGAGGGUCAUUGGAAACUGGAGAACUUGAGUACAGAAGAGGAAAGCGGAAUUCCACGUGUAGCGGUGAAAUGCGUAGAGAUGUGGAGGAACACCAGUGGCGAAGGCGGCUUUCUGGUCUGUAACUGACGCUGAGGCGCGAAAGCGUGGGGGAGCAAACAGGAUUAGAUACCCUGGUAGUCCACGCCGUAAACGAUGAGUGCUAAGUGUUAGGGGGUUUCCGCCCUUAGUGCUGCAGCUAACGCAUUAAGCACUCCGCCUGGGAGUACGGCCGCAAGGCUG